This 1036-nucleotide long non-coding RNA is filed under the name Gossypium raimondii (Peruvian cotton). RNAcentral's name for it is "long non-coding RNA (GRAI_LNC010698)". The record is from RNAcentral. Lineage: Eukaryota; Viridiplantae; Streptophyta; Magnoliopsida; Malvales; Malvaceae.
AUGAACAUAUACCACAUUUUAGACCAUUAAAGCAUAGGCAUUAAUACCGAAUUCAAACCAAAAGAGAUAAGCCAUUUUAGCAUGGCUUUUAGAUAUAUAUAUACACAUUGGUUCCAAAAUCAAUAUUUUAACUAUACUAUACAUGCCAUAUAUUUGAGAACGAUUUAGCAAAAUACCAAAAGAAAAUAUCGAUAGUGUGACGAGCUUAGCUGACGAUCCCCGAACACGUAGCGAUCACCAAAAUCUAUACAUCAAAACAAUUAUCCAACACAUUGUAAGCUAAUUUAGCUUAGUAAGUUAUAAGCAAAUAUACUCUACUAUUUAAACCGAUAUCUCAAAUAAUAUUCAACCAAUUCAUACUACUAAAUCAUCUUACCUUUAGCCUACCAUAUCAUAAAAUAAUUAUUCACUUAUUACUAUGAUUUAACUAAAAUCAAUAUAAUUACACGACCUUAAACAUUUCUUCAAAUUUAACCACAAGACCAAAUACAUUAUGCAUUUCCUCAUCAUGUAUUAUAAAGAAUCAUAUAUAUAUAUAUAUGAUUCCAAAUAUAAUCACCACAUAGGUUUAAUUCCUACAAAGCUUAACCUUAAUAUACAACCAUAAUGGUUAUUACUCAAGAAUUCCAAGUAUUUACUCAUUUUAAUAAUCAUGAUUUCUCAAUAAGACAAUUACUCAAUACUAAUAGUUAUUCGAAAAUAUUUAAUAAGUUCGCACACUUAGUGCUAAAUAAUCAAACUCACACACUUAGUGCUUUACCAUUAAACUCGCACACUUAGUGCUUUACAAUUAAACUCCCACACUUAGUGCUUUACAAUUAAACUUGCACACUUAGUGCUUCACAAUUAAAUUCGCACACUUAGUUUCGAAAGUUAACAACUCAGUACAUCUUGUUUCAAUAAUUUUAUCACUACAUGUAUAUAUAUACCAUUCAAUUUAGCAUAAUUACUCAGAUACAAAGCUGAUUUUAAAACGAUACAAUUAUAUAUGUGCUUAAUAACUUACCUCGGAUGUCGUUGCCUAAUAGAUCGGCUA